UUUCUCAUUUUAAACGCAUGUCAUAACUCUAAAAUUUAGCUGAAGAAUCACGUUCCUUUAUCGGGAGAGAGAGAGAGAUUAUCUGCCGAAAGCCCGUCAUAGGCCAGUCUUCAAUUUUAAAUAAGCGAGUCGAGUUCAGAUUUAUUGGUUUGGGGAGAAUAAAGCAUUAAUUGGGUCAUAAAGUUUGGAUUGGGCCCCCAAUAUCAUCAAUAAUCUACCCCAAGACAUAAAAAAUAAAAAAUAGAGAGAUUUGAGAAGAGAAGAGAACCCUAGCUCCCAGCAAGAGUAACUAAGCAACUUUGAGAGGGAGAGGGAGAGGGAGAGGGAGAGCUUCCACGGAAGCUGAGACUGCUCUUCUUCCAGGUCGUGGUUACCGUUGAGGCUGGUAUUGCUGUGUCUAUCAUAACAAACAAUGGCAGAUGGUCAUGAAACGGAUAAGAAUAUCGAGAUAUGGAAAAUCAAGAAGUUGAUCAAAGCCCUGGAAUCUGCAAGAGGAAAUGGUACCAGCAUGAUAUCUCUUAUAAUGCCUCCACGUGAUCAAAUAUCUCGUGUGACUAAGAUGUUGGGUGAUGAAUUUGGAACUGCUUCAAACAUCAAAAGCAGAGUCAACCGUCAGUCGGUUUUGGCCGCCAUUACUUCUGCUCAACAGAGGCUGAAGCUGUAUAAUAAGGUUCCUCCCAAUGGGCUUGUCCUUUAUACUGGAACAAUUGUUACUGAGGAUGGGAAGGAAAAGAAGGUCACGUUUGACUUCGAGCCUUUUAAGCCUAUAAAUGCAUCACUCUACCUCUGUGAUAAUAAGUUUCACACAGAAGCCCUAAAUGAACUCUUAGAGUCUGAUGACAAGUUUGGUUUUAUUGUCAUGGAUGGAAAUGGCACACUUUUUGGGACAUUGAGUGGAAACACACGAGAGGUUCUUCAUAAAUUCACAGUUGAUCUACCAAAGAAGCAUGGAAGAGGAGGGCAGUCAGCUCUGCGGUUUGCUCGUCUUCGGAUGGAAAAGAGGCACAACUAUGUGAGAAAAACUGCAGAACUUGCCACACAAUUCUUCAUUAAUCCUGCAACGAGUCAGCCUAAUGUUUCUGGGCUAAUACUUGCAGGUUCUGCCGACUUCAAAACUGAGCUGAGUCAGUCAGAUAUGUUUGAUCCUCGAUUGCAGGCAAAGAUAUUGAAUGUGGUUGAUGUUUCUUAUGGAGGCGAAAAUGGUUUCAAUCAAGCUAUUGAGCUGUCAUCAGAAAUCCUGUCAAAUGUGAAGUUUAUACAAGAGAAACGCCUUAUUGGGAAAUAUUUUGACGAGAUCAGCCAGGAUACUGGGAAAUAUGUCUUUGGCGUAGAGGACACAUUGAAAGCUCUAGAAAUGGGUGCUGUAGAAACACUUAUUGUUUGGGAAAAUUUGGACAUUAAUAGGUAUGUCCUGAAACACAGCACCACUGGUGAGAUAAUAAUAAAGCACCUGAACAAGGAACAAGAGGCUGAUCAGAGCAACUUUCGGGAUCCAGCUACCUCUGCGGAUUUGGAAGUUCAGGAGAAGAUGUCCUUACUUGAGUGGUUCGCCAAUGAGUAUAAGCGGUUUGGCUGCACACUUGAAUUUGUUACCAACAAAUCUCAAGAGGGAUCACAAUUUUGCAGAGGGUUUGGUGGGAUCGGGGGUAUACUUCGUUACCAGCUUGAUAUGAGAUCCUUUGAUGAGUUAUCUGAUGAUGGAGAAGUAUACGAGGAUUCGGAUUAAGUGUCGAUCGCCUGUGGUUUACUGCACUUGUUGGAGGAUGUUGUGAAAGUUUGCACCAGGUACAAUUGUCUUUGCUCCUGCAGCUGCCUGCGAGACUCAAAAAUACAGUCUGUGAUUUCACUGCUUCAGGGUUUAUUUUGCUUCUCUUCCAUUGGAUGUGUAAUGAUAUUAACUCGGUAGCUAAAUAUCUCCUCCUUUGCCGUUGGCAGAGAGCUCAGGUUUGAUGCAUGCUAGGUGGCAAACUAUAGCAUCAUCUCUCUCUUUUUGGUGGGAAGGAAUUGCGAGAUCAACUUCGGACAAUUUUUGGUGCUAUCCUUGCACUCCAGGACCCGGGGCUUUAUAUGCACGGCCGAAGUUAUUCUUUAGUCUCAGAAGGUUCUACGAAUGAAUGGAUUGCAUGGUUCUUCUCAUCAUGAUGUUCUGACUUUUCAUGGAGGGAGUACCAAAGUCUUAAAACCUUCUGAGGUGUAAAAAACCAAGCCAUUGAAUCAUACAAAACAGACCAACCAGUAUUCCGAGCAAAUCAAAUUUGGUUGAGGUUUCAAUUCAGCCCAGACUGAAUUGGAAGAAGUUUAGCGUCAUUGCAUGCAAAAUUUUGAAUA
RNA transcript from Carya illinoinensis, 2328 nucleotides. It is a transcript of the gene named eukaryotic peptide chain release factor subunit 1-3, with no coding region annotated. The transcript has 3 exons. The record is from RefSeq and is a predicted model, not a curated record. NCBI's taxonomy places the organism in Eukaryota, Viridiplantae, Streptophyta, Magnoliopsida, Fagales, Juglandaceae.